ACGAACGCUGGCGGCGUGCCUAAUACCUGCAAGUAGAACGCUGAAGAGAGGAGCUUGCUCUUCUUGGAUGAGUUGCGAACGGGUGAGUAACGCGUAGGUAACCUGCCUUGUAGCGGGGGAUAACUAUUGGAAACGAUAGCUAAUACCGCAUAACAAUGGAUGACACAUGUCAUUUAUUUGAAAGGGGCAAUUGCUCCACUACAAGAUGGACCUGCGUUGUAUUAGCUAGUAGGUGAGGUAACGGCUCACCUAGGCGACGAUACAUAGCCGACCUGAGAGGGUGAUCGGCCACACUGGGACUGAGACACGGCCCAGACUCCUACGGGAGGCAGCAGUAGGGAAUCUUCGGCAAUGGGGGCAACCCUGACCGAGCAACGCCGCGUGAGUGAAGAAGGUUUUCGGAUCGUAAAGAUCUGUUGUAAGUCAAGAACGAGUGUGAGAGUGGAAAGUUCACACUGUGACGGUAGCUUACCAGAAAGGGACGGCUAACUACGUG
This 496-nucleotide ribosomal RNA is filed under the name uncultured bacterium. RNAcentral describes it as "partial 16S ribosomal RNA". It matches the Rfam family "Bacterial small subunit ribosomal RNA", at positions 29 to 507 of the family's 1533-position model. The record is from RNAcentral.